RNAcentral lists this ribosomal RNA (321 nucleotides) under Marimonadida sp. RNAcentral describes it as "SSU rRNA". The stretch from base 52 to 321 matches the Rfam family "Eukaryotic small subunit ribosomal RNA", at positions 684 to 955 of the family's 1831-position model. The record is from RNAcentral. Lineage: Eukaryota; Cercozoa; Imbricatea; Marimonadida.
GAUUUCUGGCUUAAUAGAGCCGAUCCGCUAUCGUUAGAUAGUGAGUGUUGGAUUCUAUUUGCCAUCCUUCUGGAAAACAUUCCUACCCUUUACUGGGCCGGGUUUGCAAUCCAGAACUUUUACUUUGAAAAAAUUAGAGUGUUCAAAGCAGGCUUGCGCUGUGAAUACAUUAGCAUGGAAUAAUAAUUUAGGACUUUGGUUCUAUUUUGUUGGUUUCUAGGACUGAAGUAAUGAUUGAUAGGGAUAGUUGGGGGUGCUAGUAUUUACCGGCCAGAGGUGAAAUUCUUGGAUUCGGUAAAGACUAACUUAUGCGAAAGCAUU